Molecule: ribosomal RNA, 468 nt
Filed under: uncultured bacterium
Lineage: Bacteria
Description: partial 16S ribosomal RNA
Rfam family: Bacterial small subunit ribosomal RNA
Source: RNAcentral
GACGAACGCUGGCGGCGUGCUUAACACAUGCAAGUCGAACGGAAAGGCCCUGCUUUUGUGGGGUGCUCGAGUGGCGAACGGGUGAGUAACACGUGAGUAACCUGCCCUUGACUUUGGGAUAACUUCAGGAAACUGGGGCUAAUACCGGAUAGGAGCUCCUGCUGCAUGGUGGGGGUUGGAAAGUUUCGGCGGUUGGGGAUGGACUCGCGGCUUAUCAGCUUGUUGGUGGGGUAGUGGCUUACCAAGGCUUUGACGGGUAGCCGGCCUGUGAGGGUGACCGGCCACAUUGGGACUGAGGUACGGCCCAGACUCCUACGGGAGGCAGCAGUGGGGAAUAUUGCACAAUGGGCGGAAGCCUGAUGCAGCAACGCCGCGUGCGGGAUGACGGCCUUCGGGUUGUAAACCGCUUUCGCCUGUGACGAAGCGUGAGUGACGGUAAUGGGUAAAGAAGCACCGGCUAACUACGUG